RNAcentral lists this ribosomal RNA (539 nucleotides) under uncultured bacterium. Its description in RNAcentral is "bacterial SSU rRNA". It matches the Rfam family "Bacterial small subunit ribosomal RNA", at positions 356 to 896 of the family's 1533-position model. The record is from RNAcentral.
GAGGAAUAUUGGUCAAUGGACGGAAGUCUGAACCAGCCAAGUAGCGUGCAGGAUGACGGCCCUAUGGGUUGUAAACUGCUUUUGUAUGGGGAUAAAGUUAGGGACGUGUCCCUAUUUGCAGGUACCAUACGGAUAAGGACCGGCUAAUUCCGUGCCAGCAGCCGCGGUAAUACGGAAGGUCCAGGCGUUAUCCGGAUUUAUUGGGUUUAAAGGGAGCGUAGGCUGGAGAUUAAGUGUGUUGUGAAAUGUAGACGCUCAACGUCUGAAUUGCAGCGCAUACUGGUUUCCUUGAGUACGCACAACGUUGGCGGAAUUCGUCGUGUAGCGGUGAAAUGCUUAGAUAUGACGAAGAACUCCGAUUGCGAAGGCAGCUGACGGGAGCGCAACUGACGCUUAAGCUCGAAGGUGCGGGUAUCAAACAGGAUUAGAUACCCUGGUAGUCCGCACAGUAAACGAUGGAUGCCCGCUGUUGGUACCUGGUAUCAGCGGCUAAGCGAAAGCAUUAAGCAUCCCACCUGGGGAGUACGCCGGCAACGGUG